Molecule: small nucleolar RNA, 38 nt
Filed under: Bison bison bison
Lineage: Eukaryota; Metazoa; Chordata; Mammalia; Artiodactyla; Bovidae
Description: Small nucleolar RNA SNORA42/SNORA80 family (ENSBBBG00000024181.1)
Source: RNAcentral
UUGCCUGGCCUCUGGCAGUAGGCUGCAGGCACUGAAGU